CUUGGGAGAUUAAUUUGGUCUCAUCCCUUGCUAAUUAGCUAGCCCAAUUUGGUGAGAAUUUAGAUCAGAUCGUGCCACAUAGAAAUAGCCUAAAAUGGGAUACCACAUCUCAAGUUAAUGCCAAUUAUGAAGAGUUCAAGUUGUGAAGGACUCUAGGCACAAAACAGGUUUUGCAUGCGCAUGUUGGCAUGAGUAGGAGUCCUUCUGGCAUGGGAUUCACAUGCGUGUGGUGGCCCUAAUCACCCUCUGUCCUCUGGUGCACAUCUCAAAGUAUGGAUGGAUUUUUCAGGAUUAAUAUGAGGUAGAAAAAAAUUGGAAAGAGGAAGGGUCUCUUGCACGUACGCGAUGAAGCAUACAUCUCUCUACAUUUUAGAGAGUCUUUCUCCUGAUCAAACUCAUUCAAAUUGGAACAAUUUUUUUGAUAAUGUUUCACAUUUGAUCAGGUAUUUUUGAUGAUUUUUUUGAAUUUUUUUCAGACUUAUCAAAUGGCCAAAUGGAUGCCAGAAACCUCCUUGCAUGCAUGCAUGCGCGGUGAUCCGAACUCACAUGAAGAGGUGCAAGGAUAAUAUUGUUUCAUGAGAUUUUUAUCAUCUUAUCAAGUUAUCUAGAAUCAAAAAUGAGUCUCCCAUCCAUGUAGAUUUUUGUAGAUUUUUUUGAUUUGAGAAGGGAUGCAAAAACAUCCCUUCUCUGGUCGCACGUGUAGGUGGAGGUGCAGAUCGACAUAUGAGUGAUAAGAGUCCUUUGGCUUAAGGGAACUCUUAUCUCUGAUAAUCUAAUUAGAUAAGCCUCUUAGAUGGGGUGUGUCCCUCCCUUUUGGCAUCCAUCUGGUGGCUAUAAAAUAGCCUAGGUGAUGGGUGUCCAAGGCAUUCAGAUUGGCUUUCCAAUUUCUCUCUGAUUACUUUCUUUUUUUUCUUACAACCUAUCUUAGUUUUAGGACAAAGCUUUGAAAUUUAAGAUAAAGUCUUAUCUAGUCCUAGCACGGGUUGAGAAGGUCCUAAAGAAAGAGAAUCAAAAGUUCGGAGGAAGAUCUAAGAGGAUCGAGUUAGGUUCUUGAAGAAAUCUAAUCGGUACAGGGCUAGUCGAGUUUUAGGGGCUAGAACUCUUAAAGUAAGGUGAAGGAGGAGCGCUAUCUUUGGUUUAAUUUUCAUGUGGAUCACCAUUGGCAAGCGGACACUUGGACGCCUUAUGAAAAUUGAGAUUAGUGCUACAAGUAUUCUUCUUAUCCAAGUUUAAUUUAAUUAUACUUUGAUUGAUAUAGUCAAGAGUUUCUGGGCAUUUGGGUUUCUGAUGCGUCAAGUAUUUUGAAUAAAAAUUUUAAAUAUCUGGUUCUUCCACUGUGCCACCAGAACCCAAUAGUGGUAUCAAAGCCUACCUUGAUCUAUAUAAUCAAAGGUUAAAAUAUUAUCUUGAUUGUGAUCAAGCUUGGGUUUUUGGUUUGGUUCAAGUUGGGUCAAGGGUUGAACCCAAUUGAACAUCUAAACUCGAGCAUAUCUUAGAGAUAUGUUUUAAAUAUUAAAUGCAUGAUGUAUGUAUAGAAUUUUUCUUAAUAGCUUAGUAUUCUAAUUGAGAUUCAUCACCAGACCGUCCAAUCAUAAGAGCGAGUAGGGUUUAAAGAUCCUCUCUUCUCAUUUCAUAGGGAAAUCUUAUGGUGUGUAG
This 1656-nucleotide long non-coding RNA is filed under the name Elaeis guineensis (African oil palm). Its description in RNAcentral is "long non-coding RNA (EGUI_LNC039977)". The record is from RNAcentral. Lineage: Eukaryota; Viridiplantae; Streptophyta; Magnoliopsida; Arecales; Arecaceae.